Molecule: long non-coding RNA, 4556 nt
Organism: Hemicordylus capensis (graceful crag lizard)
Lineage: Eukaryota; Metazoa; Chordata; Lepidosauria; Squamata; Cordylidae
Exons: 2
Source: RefSeq, a predicted model, not a curated record
CUCCUCGCCAUGCUAAGCCCCUUCCUUCCCGGCCCCGCCCAUCCUCUCGCGAGACAAUCCAAGCCGCGCGAAACCGCCCCCGAACUCUCGCGGGAUCUGGCGGCCCCCUUGGGCUCGGCACCUCACGAGGAGGACACAGGAGUUCGAGGGCGGAAGACGAGAGGCCGGGCGAGAUCUGUCUACUUUCCCCACCUUCUCCACCCUCCCGUGUGAUCGGAUCCCAAGUAAAAUCCGAGCAACGCCAUGUGAAAUCCGUGUGAAUCCGGUUGGGAUUUAGCAGCCAGGUGAAGGAGCCAAAAUCCGGGGGCUGCCCUAAAUUCCGGGGAACAUGGCCACCCUACGAGUCGCCCCUGCCUUCAAGCUGCCAGCUCCCGAGCCUGAAGGAAAACCUCCCUCCCCUCAGGGCAACUUCUCCUCAUCCAAGUCCCUGCCAAGCUGAGAAAACCUGCCCCACGGAGCACCUCGGCUUUGGAAGGCGAGCGAGAAGCAUCCUCUGGAGCUGGCAGCCCUCUGGUCUCCGUCCACUUGGUGCAGUGCCAUCACACACACACACCCCGUUUGACAAAGGAUCCAGCACGCCGCCCCCCCAAAGGGCUACCCACCCACAGUGUCUGGGAGCGAGACCUCCGGGCUUCGGGACAUUCGUGGAGAGGCGACACUGUCGGCGGGGGACGGGACCGACUGGGACCUCAGGCCCUUGCCAGGGCUGCCAGACUCCUGUAAGAAGAAGAGGAGGAGGAGGAGAAGGCGCCCCUUGGCGGGGCCCUCACUGGUUUCAAACCCCUCCUCGGUGCAGCCCGCAGCAGCAGCAGCAGCAGCAGGACAACCGCCAUGGCAUGCCCGGUGCCACUGCCACCCCAGGAUGGCCAAAAAAGAGGCUCCCACCAUUUUGUGGAGCUACCAGCAUCAAAGAUGUGCCACCCCCCGGACCCCUUCCGAGGGCGCCCUUUGAGGGGAGCUUGCUCUGGUCUCCCGCAGUCUCCAGUGGCGGAAACCGGUGAGCACAGCAGGCCCCGAGAGCCCCCUUGGGGGAGGCCUCGCCCCAGGCCCCGCAGCCGCCCGCCCACCCCUCAGAAGCCAGAGGCAGGCUGCAGCCGCCGGACGAGGCUGCGGCCGACUGGAGGGGCAGGCUCUCUGGGGUUCUCGGGCAGCGAGGAAGAAGCCCCGUCACUGCCGCUGCCGCCUCCCAGUGCCCAGCCUCCGCUUCCCGCAGCCCAGACUCACCCCAUCGUCCGGAUCGCACACAAGGUCCAGGCCCAAAGGCUUGAUCUGCACCUGGAUCACGGUGCCUUCCCCAGUGGCCAGCCCCGUCUGGGGCAGGGGCAGAGGUGGGGGCAAGCCCAGGGAGCUCUGGUCCCUGCUGUCCUCCUUCUCUGCAUCGCUCCCGGGAUCUGAGGCGCUGAAGCUGAGCCUGAGGGGGCAGGGAGGAGAGCAUCAGAGCCGGAGGGGCACAGCGGCCUCCAGAAGACCUCCCGGAGUGCCCCACUGCCCCCUUGCCCUUGGCUAGGGCCGCCUUCUGCCACCUGGCACAUGACUCCGGUUUCCAGUCUGAGAGCUGGGCUGGUGGUGGUGACAGGGCGCAGAUUUCUCAGCUGAAAAAAAAGUCUGGAUUUGCCUCGUCCUCUCAGAUGCAGCCAUGUCCUGUUGGGGACCGGCGUGAAGCCCGGGAAAGUGUGAAGGGCCCCCCGCCCCGCCCCGCCCCGCCGUGGGUGCCUGCAUCCGCUUUAUGGCUGCCUUUCUUUCUAACGGUCAGACUGGGAGGCCCCUCUCCGUGACUGCAGCCCAAUGACUUUAUUUCCAUGCUGCACGCGAGGCUGUUUGGGGCUCUGGAGCACCCGCCGAAGACAGGAGAGACCCAGCGCGGUGCCCGAGAAAGGGCAGCCUUGUGCCGGGGGCGCCUUCUCUCUCCGCCUCCCUGCUCCUCCCCGGCCGCAAGGGGGCCUGGAGCGCCCCCCCCGGCCCAGCAGGCCUUUCUGCUGCUGCCGCCAGUGGGAGAGGGGAGCGCUGUGGACCCCCGAUCUCGAAUCACUGGGCUGCAGCUUUGCUCCUGCCCCGCCCGCAGCCUUCCCUGUGCCUGGCUCCCACCGGGGCCCAAGAGGAAAGAGGCUCUGCCCUGCCAAGCCGCCAUUUCGCCUCGGGUCCCCCCUGCCUGUGAGCCACAAUUCGGCACCUGUCUCCAGGCUGUGGACCCAGAAGGAAGGGGGGACACCCAUAAUAUGCCUGAAGCCUGCCCAGCCCUAGAGCCCAGGUCCCCAAGCAGCCAUGCUUCUCCCCCCCCCCACCAACAGCAGGACAAUGGCUGCCUGCUUGUCAAUGGCUAGGUAGUCAAUGGCUGCCUACUAGUCUGGCGGCUUGGGGCCACCUCCAGCCUCAGAGGCAAGAUGCCUCCGAAUCCCAGUCACAGCAGGAGAGAGGGCCGGCUCCCCAGAGGCACCUGGCGGGCCACUGCGAGAAGCAGGAAGGACGCCGGCCGAGAGAGGCCUCCUUGGGCCUGAUCCAGCAGGGCUGCUCCUCUGUUCUUCACUGCAGAGCCCUGGAGGAGACAGGAGCGCCUGCCCCGUUGUGACCGAAAGCCCUGCCAAGAUCCCAGGCAGAGCGCGUUCCCCCAGGCACCUUAUAAGGAGGGCCAAGUUAAAAAUAGACCCCCCACCCCAUGGCCAGGCAGCCAGAUCAAUAGUGCUGGUUCGGAGCUGGCAGGGAUGCAGGGAAACAGCCGUCCCCUCACGGGAUCGGCACAGCCUUACAAAGGCAUCUGGCCCUGGCGGGUUCCGGAGCACCACGGGGCCACUUUCCACUGCUCUGAUGACCGUCCAGGGCCCUGUCAGCCCUCCUGCUUGGAAGCUCGGCGGGGGGGGGGAGAGGCCUCCCCCUUGGAAAGCUGCUCUUUGUUGGCCUUUUGCUUGGCUUGUUUGUGCCUCCAGGAAGAGGUGCACCUAGGCAAUUUGGGAGCCUGGAGCUCAAGGCUUCUGGAGGGGCCCUGCCACCCAGUAUUUGGCCCCCAGGGGGUGUGCAGGCGCUGGACUCUGGCCCUGAAGUCCAGGGGCAAGGGCGCCACUGCCUGCAAGCUUCAAAAAGACAGGGUCCACCACCCCAGCAGGGGACCUUCAAGAAGCCCACAUUUCAAGCAGCAGUGGGGUGGGCAUUGGGGCGGUGAAAAGGGGGCCCCUGACGCCCACACAGCACAUGUGUGGGCCCAGCAGGCUGGGCUACACAUCGCCCUGCCCAGGCAGGAGGGGAGGGGGUGGCAUCUUCCAAAGCCAAGCCCCGGCAGGCAGCCGGGUGUGUUUGCCCCUCCCUGCCAGAGACUCACCUGCAGAGCUCCGAGAAACAGCCGCCCAUGGCUCGCUGACCUAGAGCCCCGCGUGGCUGGUCACUCGCGUCACCAAAGGACAGCCAACCUCCGAGAUGCUGCCGCUUCUCGAGGUGGCUGCCAAAUGAGCCCUUGGCAGAACCCUGGCAGGUCUCCUUGGAGAACCACAAUGACAGGAUUCUGCGGCUGAUUGUGAGGUCACCAGGUCAGUUACUGGCCACACUGGUUGUGGUUUGAAUCGGUUCUGUGUCUCAGGGCUUCAGGGGAGAGUCGUCCCUGUCCUGCCCUCCCAGCUCCUCAUGUCCCCCACCCCACUCCGCAUCACAUGCUGAAGUCCCUUCUCUAGGAAACUCCUCCAUGUUCCUCUUGGCACGGAGACCCCGUUUCUGUCCAGAGUACACAAAGAGAAAGCCAGUAAACCCAUGGAACUCACUGCCCCUAGAUGUAGUGAUGACUACUCACUUGGAUGGGUUCGAAAGGGGGUUGGACACAUUCACCGAGUAAGAGAGGCCCCUCAGUGGCUAGAGAAAGAACCUCCAAGUCCAAAGGCUGAAUCUCAGAUCGGGGAACAUGCAAUGGCCGAGACUUUUUGCCUUGGCACUCUUACAUGUUGCGUUCAUUAUGAACGUUGUUUCCUCCUGCACAAGCAGCAGGUGCAGCCCGCCCCUCUCCACAAGCAUUCCCACAAUGCAAUGCGGGACACUCAAGUUGCAUUGGGGGAUUCUCCCAGGAUUGGGCACUCUAGGUGUCCCUCUCUGUGUGCGGCCGGGCUGGAAGCAGUCCGUUCUUGCACAUGAGCAAGUAGCCAGGGUGAACAGCACCUUGCUGGGAUCGGGCCCGAUGCUGGCACUUUACACACACCAGCUAACCCAGGCUGGGCAUCCCGAGCUGCACAUGAGGACAGCCUCAUGGUCUCCCUGUUCAUUGCUUAUUCCAGGUUACGCAUGAUCCCAACAUGACAGUUCCCUACCGUGCUGCCUGGUGAAAGCAAGGAAGUGUAAGCAAGUGUCCCAUACUCUGAAGGAAGUCAAUAUUGCUAUUUUUCUGUGUGGCUCUGUUGUAAUGAGAGGCCGUUGGCUGUAAUAACAAUGAAGUUGAAGUAUAUUGCUAUUUAUUUUUAUUUGUUUACGUUUCUAUCCCACUAUUCUGCCAAGGACCACCUUGGGGUUAUCUUUUUAACGAAAGGCGGUAUAUAAAUGCAAAAAUAAAUAAAUAAAAUAAAUAAAAAUAAAAUAGUGUACAGGCA